GCGCGAGUGGCGAAAUUGGCAGACGCGCUAGAUUUAGGUUCUAGUGCCUUCGGGCGUGGGGGUUCAAGUCCCCCCUCGCGCACCA
This 85-nucleotide transfer RNA is filed under the name Arcanobacterium hippocoleae. RNAcentral describes it as "tRNA-Leu". It matches the Rfam family "tRNA". From Rfam's summary of the family: Transfer RNA (tRNA) molecules are approximately 80 nucleotides in length. Lineage: Bacteria; Bacillati; Actinomycetota; Actinomycetes; Actinomycetales; Actinomycetaceae. The record is from RNAcentral.